AGCCCAGGGUGAGGGCAUCUUCUCAAUAGAUCCUUGUAUCUCUCUUAUGCAUCAUAGAGUGUUUCUAAAUCCACCUGCACAAAAGAAGAAAUAUCAUUCCUUAGUUU
RNAcentral lists this small nucleolar RNA (107 nucleotides) under Gossypium hirsutum (cotton). Its description in RNAcentral is "Plant small nucleolar RNA R71". It matches the Rfam family "Plant small nucleolar RNA R71". Rfam says of the family: R71 is a member of the C/D box family of snoRNAs containing the C (UGAUGA) and D (CUGA) box motifs. Multiple nearly identical copies of this snoRNA have been identified in Arabidopsis, and it is thought to function as a 2'-O-ribose methylation guide for 18S ribosomal RNA. The record is from Rfam by way of RNAcentral. Lineage: Eukaryota; Viridiplantae; Streptophyta; Magnoliopsida; Malvales; Malvaceae.